Molecule: non-coding RNA, 346 nt
Organism: Macaca mulatta (Rhesus monkey)
Lineage: Eukaryota; Metazoa; Chordata; Mammalia; Primates; Cercopithecidae
Source: RefSeq, a predicted model, not a curated record
UGAUACACAAAGUAUACGGUCCCAGCUCCCUGCUUGUCUUCCUCUGACACCACCUUUUUGGGGUGGUAUGGGAUUUCUUUCUACAGCCACACAAGGGUGAAAAAUGAUGCCAUCCAGGAGUCACAGAAGACAAGUGGCAGCACUUAAAGACCUGAAGCAAGCUGGGCACAGUUUCUGUAAUUGGCAGCAGAGCCCAAGAGCCAUCCAAAAAACAUGUGUGGACAGAAAGAGUCCAUAAGACCUAAAUGUCCUGGAAGGUGAAGCCAAACUAUUGAGAAAAUUACCUGAAGAGUCUUCCAGAGGCUGAGACUUCACCUGAGCAAGAAAUAAAUGCUUCUUACAUUAA